RNAcentral lists this non-coding RNA (21 nucleotides) under Caenorhabditis elegans. The record is from RNAcentral. Lineage: Eukaryota; Metazoa; Nematoda; Chromadorea; Rhabditida; Rhabditidae.
UUCUAUAGUUCGCUUUUAUGU